This 252-nucleotide ribosomal RNA is filed under the name uncultured bacterium. RNAcentral's name for it is "partial 16S ribosomal RNA". It matches the Rfam family "Bacterial small subunit ribosomal RNA", at positions 524 to 776 of the family's 1533-position model. The record is from RNAcentral.
UACGUAGGUCCCGAGCGUUGUCCGGAUUUAUUGGGCGUAAAGCGAGCGCAGGUGGUUUAUUAAGUCUGGUGUAAAAGGCAGUGGCUCAACCAUUGUAUGCAUUGGAAACUGGUAGACUUGAGUGCAGGAGAGAAGAGUGGAAUUCCAUGUGUAGCGGUGAAAUGCGUAGAUAUAUGGAGGAACACCGGUGGCGAAAGCGGCUCUCUGGUCUGUAACUGACGCUGAGGUUCGAAAGCGUGGGUAGCAAACAGG